AAACCAACAGGGAUUGCCUUAGUAACGGCGAGUGAACAGGCAAGAGCUCAGAUUUGAAAGCCUUUCGGGGCAUUGUAUUCUGAAGCCUUGAUUCUGAGAACCGGUACCUAAGUCUUCUGGAAAGGAGCGCCAAGGAGGGUGAUAGCCCCGUACGGUACUGACCUCAUUGUAGAAUCUUGGCGUGGAGUCGAGUUGUUUGGGAAUGCAGCUCAAAUGGGUGGUAUGCUCCAUCUAAAGCUAAAUAUCUGCGAGAGACCGAUAGCGAACAAGUACUGUGAAGGAAAGAUGAAAAGAACUUUGAAAAGAGAGUGAAAAAGUACGUGAAAUUGUUGAAAUGGAAGGAUAGGCCGCUAACCACGUAGAGCCGUGUCUGAGGGGAGGAUAAAAGCUGUAGAAUGUGGCUCUUCGGAGUGUUAUAGCUGCAGUGCAUACUCCCACUCGGGCGCGA
RNAcentral lists this ribosomal RNA (448 nucleotides) under Starmerella bombicola. Its description in RNAcentral is "partial large subunit ribosomal RNA". It matches the Rfam family "Eukaryotic large subunit ribosomal RNA", at positions 62 to 534 of the family's 3401-position model. Lineage: Eukaryota; Fungi; Ascomycota; Dipodascomycetes; Dipodascales; Trichomonascaceae. The record is from RNAcentral.